UACAGAGGUCCCAAGCGUUGUUCGGAUUCACUGGGCGUAAAGGGUGCGUAGGUGGCGAGGUAAGUCGGAUGUGAAAGCUCGGAGCUCAACUCCGAAAUGGCAUUGGAAACUACCUUGCUCGAGGGUUGGAAGGGGGACUGGAAUGCUUGGUGUAGCAGUGAAAUGCGUAGAUAUCGUAAGGAAGACCAGUGGCGAAGGCGAGUCUCUGGACAGUUACUGACGCUGAGGCACGAAGGCCAGGGGAGCAAACGGG
Molecule: ribosomal RNA, 253 nt
Filed under: uncultured bacterium
Lineage: Bacteria
Description: partial 16S ribosomal RNA
Rfam family: Bacterial small subunit ribosomal RNA
Source: RNAcentral